Molecule: ribosomal RNA, 2629 nt
Filed under: Shigella dysenteriae
Lineage: Bacteria; Pseudomonadati; Pseudomonadota; Gammaproteobacteria; Enterobacterales; Enterobacteriaceae
Description: partial 23S ribosomal RNA
Rfam family: Bacterial large subunit ribosomal RNA
Source: RNAcentral
GGGUUGUGAGGUUAAGCGACUAAGCGUACACGGUGGAUGCCCUGGCAGUCAGAGGCGAUGAAGGACGUGCUAAUCUGCGAUAAGCGUCGGUAAGGUGAUAUGAACCGUUAUAACCGGCGAUUUCCGAAUGGGGAAACCCAGUGUGAUUCGUCACACUAUCAUUAACUGAAUCCAUAGGUUAAUGAGGCGAACCGGGGGAACUGAAACAUCUAAGUACCCCGAGGAAAAGAAAUCAACCGAGAUUCCCCCAGUAGCGGCGAGCGAACGGGGAGCAGCCCAGAGCCUGAAUCAGUGUGUGUGUUAGUGGAAGCGUCUGGAAAGGCGUGCGAUACAGGGUGACAGCCCCGUACACAAAAAUGCACAUAUUGUGAGCUCGAUGAGUAGGGCGGGACACGUGGUAUCCUGUCUGAAUAUGGGGGGACCAUCCUCCAAGGCUAAAUACUCCUGACUGACCGAUAGUGAACCAGUACCGUGAGGGAAAGGCGAAAAGAACCCCGGCGAGGGGAGUGAAAAAGAACCUGAAACCGUGUACGUACAAGCAGUGGGAGCACGCUUAGGCGUGUGACUGCGUACCUUUUGUAUAAUGGGUCAGCGACUUAUAUUCUGUAGCAAGGUUAACCGAAUAGGGGAGCCGAAGGGAAACCGAGUCUUAACUGGGCGUUAAGUUGCAGGGUAUAGACCCGAAACCCGGUGAUCUAGCCAUGGGCAGGUUGAAGGUUGGGUAACACUAACUGGAGGACCGAACCGACUAAUGUUGAAAAAUUAGCGGAUGACUUGUGGCUGGGGGUGAAAGGCCAAUCAAACCGGGAGAUAGCUGGUUCUCCCCGAAAGCUAUUUAGGUAGCGCCUCGUGAAUUCAUCUCCGGGGGUAGAGCACUGUUUCGGCAAGGGGGUCAUCCCGACUUACCAACCCGAUGCAAACUGCGAAUACCGGAGAAUGUUAUCACGGGAGACACACGGCGGGUGCUAACGUCCGUCGUGAAGAGGGAAACAACCCAGACCGCCAGCUAAGGUCCCAAAGUCAUGGUUAAGUGGGAAACGAUGUGGGAAGGCCCAGACAGCCAGGAUGUUGGCUUAGAAGCAGCCAUCAUUUAAAGAAAGCGUAAUAGCUCACUGGUCGAGUCGGCCUGCGCGGAAGAUGUAACGGGGCUAAACCAUGCACCGAAGCUGCGGCAGCGACACUAUGUGUUGUUGGGUAGGGGAGCGUUCUGUAAGCCUGUGAAGGUGUACUGUGAGGUAUGCUGGAGGUAUCAGAAGUGCGAAUGCUGACAUAAGUAACGAUAAAGCGGGUGAAAAGCCCGCUCGCCGGAAGACCAAGGGUUCCUGUCCAACGUUAAUCGGGGCAGGGUGAGUCGACUCCUAAGGCGAGGCCGAAAGGCGUAGUCGAUGGGAAACAGGUUAAUAUUCCUGUACUUGGUGUUACUGCGAAGGGGGGACGGAGAAGGCUAUGUUGGCCGGGCGACGGUUGUCCCGGUUUAAGCGUGUAGGCUGGUUUUCCAGGCAAAUCCGGAAAACUAAGGCUGAGGCGUGAUGACGAGGCACUACGGUGCUGAAGCAACAAAUGCCCUGCUUCCAGGAAAAGCCUCUAAGCAUCAGGUAACAUCAAAUCGUACCCCAAACCGACACAGGUGGUCAGGUAGAGAAUACCAAGGCGCUUGAGAGAACUCGGGUGAAGGAACUAGGCAAAAUGGUGCCGUAACUUCGGGAGAAGGCACGCUGAUAUGUAGGUGAAGUCCCUCGCGGAUGGAGCUGAAAUCAGUCGAAGAUACCAGCUGGCUGCAACUGUUUAUUAAAAACACAGCACUGUGCAAACACGAAAGUGGACGUAUACGGUGUGACGCCUGCCCGGUGCCGGAAGGUUAAUUGAUGGGGUCAGCGCAAGCGAAGCUCUUGAUCGAAGCCCCGGUAAACGGCGGCCGUAACUAUAACGGUCCUAAGGUAGCGAAAUUCCUUGUCGGGUAAGUUCCGACCUGCACGAAUGGCGUAAUGAUGGCCAGGCUGUCUCCACCCGAGACUCAGUGAAAUUGAACUCGCUGUGAAGAUGCAGUGUACCCGCGGCAAGACGGAAAGACCCCGUGAACCUUUACUAUAGCUUGACACUGAACAUUGAGCCUUGAUGUGUAGGAUAGGUGGGAGGCUUUGAAGUGUGGACGCCAGUCUGCAUGGAGCCGACCUUGAAAUACCACCCUUUAAUGUUUGAUGUUCUAACGUUGACCCGUAAUCCGGGUUGCGGACAGUGUCUGGUGGGUAGUUUGACUGGGGCGGUCUCCUCCUAAAGAGUAACGGAGGAGCACGAAGGUUGGCUAAUCCUGGUCGGACAUCAGGAGGUUAGUGCAAUGGCAUAAGCCAGCUUGACUGCGAGCGUGACGGCGCGAGCAGGUGCGAAAGCAGGUCAUAGUGAUCCGGUGGUUCUGAAUGGAAGGGCCAUCGCUCAACGGAUAAAAGGUACUCCGGGGAUAACAGGCUGAUACCGCCCAAGAGUUCAUAUCGACGGCGGUGUUUGGCACCUCGAUGUCGGCUCAUCACAUCCUGGGGCUGAAGUAGGUCCCAAGGGUAUGGCUGUUCGCCAUUUAAAGUGGUACGCGAGCUGGGUUUAGAACGUCGUGAGACAGUUCGGUCCCUAUCUGCCG